AACGCACAUUGCGCCCACUGGUAUUCCGGUGGGCAUGCCUGUUCGAGCGUCAUUAUCCUCCCUCAAACCUCGGGUUUGGUGUUGGACCCAAGUUGUGUGAACAACUGGUCUCAAAGACAAUGACGGCGUCCGUGGGACCCUCGGUGCAACGAGCUUUUAAACGAGCACGCGUCGAGUUUCAAGGACCUUCCGGGCCGGUCUCCUUCUUUUAUUUACAAAGGUUGACCUCGGAUCAGGUAGGAAUACCCGCUGAACUUAA
This 259-nucleotide unclassified non-coding RNA is filed under the name uncultured fungus. RNAcentral describes it as "sequence contains ITS2". The stretch from base 1 to 52 matches the Rfam family "5.8S ribosomal RNA", at positions 103 to 154 of the family's 154-position model. Lineage: Eukaryota; Fungi. The record is from RNAcentral.